UACAGAGACUGCAAGCGUUAUUCGGAUUCACUGGGCGUAAAGGGUGCGCAGGCGGCCGGGUGUGUCAGAUGUGAAAUCCCGAGGCUUAACCUCGGAACUGCGUCUGAAACUACUCGGCUAGAGUAUUGGAGAGGGUAGCGGAAUUCACGGUGUAGCAGUGAAAUGCGUAGAUAUCGUGAGGAACACCAGAGGCGAAGGCGGCUGCCUGGACAAUUACUGACGCUCAGGCACGAAAGCGUGGGGAGCAAAAGGG
RNAcentral lists this ribosomal RNA (253 nucleotides) under uncultured bacterium. RNAcentral's name for it is "partial 16S ribosomal RNA". It matches the Rfam family "Bacterial small subunit ribosomal RNA", at positions 524 to 776 of the family's 1533-position model. The record is from RNAcentral.